RNAcentral lists this unclassified non-coding RNA (439 nucleotides) under Asanthus thyrsiflorus. RNAcentral describes it as "partial contains external transcribed spacer and 18S ribosomal RNA". Lineage: Eukaryota; Viridiplantae; Streptophyta; Magnoliopsida; Asterales; Asteraceae. The record is from RNAcentral.
UGGCUCUUUGCUUGUGCACAACUUCCACCUGACAUACCUUUUCAUUUGUCUGUUUAGGCUUCAACUGCCUAAAGAAAUUCUGGGUUUCCUGUGUUGCCUACCUAACAUAUGGUAUUGAUUUGGCACAUCUUAGUUCCUUUGUCUUGUGUSAUACUUAUGACAUCAGAUGAACAUUGAAGCUGUCUAUUUGAACCACACCAUUAACAUGUCUGUUGAUGUAGUGGUGCAUUGUGCAUUGCUUGGUCUCUUUGAUAUAGAACCUGAUGUGGGCAUGGGUCUCAUGGGAUCCUUGUUAUGUCCCUGUUUAGUGUUUACGCUCGCUAAAAUGACUGCUUGACUCGCAUUGGCUCGUACCAGCGUGUUGGGUUUUGUCUAAGAGGAAAGUUACCUGGUUGAUCCUGCCAGUAGUCAUAUGCUUGUCUCAAAGAUUAAGCCAUGC